Molecule: ribosomal RNA, 380 nt
Filed under: uncultured eukaryote
Lineage: Eukaryota
Description: partial 18S ribosomal RNA
Rfam family: Eukaryotic small subunit ribosomal RNA
Source: RNAcentral
CAAUAGCGUAUAUUAAAGUUGUUGCAGUUAAAAAGCUCGUAGUUGGAUUUGUGGCGUACGGUGUGUUCCGGGCACUUGUUGUCUGAGUAACCUGCUGUUGCCAUCCUUGGGUGGAACCUGUGUGGCAUUAGGUUGUCGUGCAGGGGAUGCCCAUCAUUUACUGUGAAAAAAUUAGAGUGUUCAAAGCAGGCUUAUGCCGUUGAAUAUAUUAGCAUGGAAUAAUGAGAUAGGACUUUUUUGCUAUUUUGUUGGUUUGCGCAAAGAGGUAAUGAUUAAUAGGGACAGUUGGGGGUAUUCGUAUUCCAUUGUCAGAGGUGAAAUUCUUGGAUUGUUGGAAGACGAACUACUGCGAAAGCAUUUACCAAGGAUGUUUUCAUUAA